Molecule: ribosomal RNA, 203 nt
Filed under: uncultured bacterium
Lineage: Bacteria
Description: partial 16S ribosomal RNA
Rfam family: Bacterial small subunit ribosomal RNA
Source: RNAcentral
CAGGCGGCUGGUCAAGUCCGAUGUGAAAUCUCCCGGCUUAACUGGGAAACUGCAUCGGAAACUGAUCGGCUUGAAGGUGGGAGAGGGUAGUGGAAUUCCCGGUGUAGUGGUGAAAUGCGUAGAUAUCGGGAGGAACACCAGUGGCGAAGGCGACUACCUGGCCCAUUCUUGACGCUGAGGCGCGAAAGCUAGGGGAGCGAACG